Molecule: ribosomal RNA, 18 nt
Filed under: Zaptyx hyperoptyx
Lineage: Eukaryota; Metazoa; Mollusca; Gastropoda; Stylommatophora; Clausiliidae
Description: partial 5.8S rRNA
Source: RNAcentral
GAGAGCAGAGAAGGAAAA